RNAcentral lists this long non-coding RNA (949 nucleotides) under Bos taurus (domestic cattle). RNAcentral's name for it is "long non-coding RNA NONBTAT000701". Lineage: Eukaryota; Metazoa; Chordata; Mammalia; Artiodactyla; Bovidae. The record is from RNAcentral.
GUGUAAAUUGUAGAAUUCACUUGGUUUUGACAGAAACAAGUUUUUCAGGAUCGAAUUAGGUUGACUUUUAAAAAUAUUUCUUAUCCCAUAGAGUGUAUCUCCAUGGUGUCAUUUUCUGUCUUUCUGGGUCUCUUUCAUUUAGAGCCAGAGAGAGAGAGUAAAUAGUACUCAGAAGUAUUACUCAAUAGUAAAUCACGGAAUGGAGGUUGAUGAGUAAGUAAAGUCUUGUGUAAAACUAAAUGCUAGUAAGUAGAACCCACCCUUCUGGUGAACAGCAAUUUUCCAAUAAACAUAAGCCUUGAUGAAAAAGCCACUUAAGGACAGCUGUGUACUAUGAAUAUUUAACUUCAUUUAUUUGCCUUGCUUAGCAUUUUACUUACUGUCUUGCCAUGAAACUUAGUAUUGCACUGUAUACAUUUUAGAAUAGUGGUAAAAAUGUUCUGUAGUACUGAAAAUAACCAACAUAGAACACCAAGCCAGUGUGGUGAUUUCUCCUGAUAUGUCAAAAUUCUAUAUUUCAGUGAUGGCUGUUUUGGUCUUUGAUUCACCUAUGUGUCAGUCCUGCUAGAGAGACAGAUUAGUAUCUUAGCUUUUUUUAAAAUAGAGAUUAUGAUGACCUUGGUAGUUUUCCCAUGAAGUGAUUGUGUGAUUAAAUUAUUGAAUGUAAUGAGACCCUUAAUUAGAAAAUCUUUUAAUACAACUUUCUCUUUUACGUUUCCAUUCUCUUCUUGAUUUUUGACAUCUAUUCUCAGAAAAUGUCAUGAUUUUUAAUGAAAUUGGAUAUGUUUAAGAAAUUCCAUUUCUGACAGAAUCUCAGUCUUUCUCAUAAACAUAAUAGUUUUGGUACAGGCUUUUCUUUGACAUAUGAUCUCAAAGUAGAGUUGAGCAAUCUAAUAUGAACUAUCUUAAUAAAACAUAAUUUAGUAUUUCUGUAAAGCAUUUUCAAAAG